This 253-nucleotide ribosomal RNA is filed under the name uncultured prokaryote. RNAcentral describes it as "partial 16S ribosomal RNA". It matches the Rfam family "Bacterial small subunit ribosomal RNA", at positions 525 to 777 of the family's 1533-position model. The record is from RNAcentral.
ACGGGGGGGGCAAGCGUUGUUCGGAAUUACUGGGCGUAAAGGGCUCGUAGGCGGCCAACUAAGUCGGACGUGAAAUCCCUCGGCUUAACCGGGGAACCGCGUCCGAUACUGGAUGGCUUGAGUAUGGGAGAGGGAUGCGGAAUUCCAGGUGUAGCGGUGAAACGCGUAGAGAUGUGGAGGAACACCGAUGGCGAAGGCAGCCCCCUGGGUCAAAACUGACGCUCAUGCACGAAAGCGUGGGGAGCAAACAGGA